CCUACGGGGGGCAGCAGUGGGGAAUAUUGGACAAUGGGGGGAACCCUGAUCCAGCCAUGCCGCGUGUGUGAAGAAGGCCCUCGGGUUGUAAAGCACUUUCAGUGAGGAAGAACGCCUGGUGGUUAAUACCCAUCAGGAAAGACAUCACUCACAGAAGAAGCACCGGCUAACUCCGUGCCAGCAGCCGCGGUAAUACGGAGGGUGCGAGCGUUAAUCGGAAUUACUGGGCGUAAAGCGCGCGUAGGUGGCUUGAUAAGCCGGUUGUGAAAGCCCCGGGCUCAACCUGGGAACGGCAUCCGGAACUGUCAAGCUAGAGUGCAGGAGAGGAAGGUAGAAUUCCCGGUGUAACGGUGAAAUGCGUAGAGAUCGGGAGGAAUACCAGUGGCGAAGGCGGCCUUCUGGACUGACACUGACACUGAGGUGCGAAAGCGUGGGUAGCAAACAGGAUUAGAUACCCGUGUAGUC
RNAcentral lists this ribosomal RNA (465 nucleotides) under Vreelandella stevensii. RNAcentral's name for it is "partial 16S ribosomal RNA". It matches the Rfam family "Bacterial small subunit ribosomal RNA", at positions 338 to 795 of the family's 1533-position model. The record is from RNAcentral. Lineage: Bacteria; Pseudomonadati; Pseudomonadota; Gammaproteobacteria; Oceanospirillales; Halomonadaceae.